UGCAGCUCAGGCUUGUGCAUGCUUGCCAACUUCCUGUGUGAUUUAGUCACAUGCCCAUACUUGAGAACCACAGUGUGGAGCAAGAGUAAAGAAGGCAGGUCACCAGCAAGGUUUGAGCUCUGUCUUGAAGGACAAGACAAAUUUCGAUGCAUGGUGUCAUUCCAAACAGGGAAAAUGGUGGAAAGGUGCAGGAUGUAGUGGUCAGGGAUGAGAAAGUCCUGGCGACCUGAGGAAGUGAGUGGAACAGAAGUGGGACAUCAGAUGGGUGUGUCCAAACUUGCUAUGGUGGAGAAUGGGGAGCUCUCCAGUGUUGACCAAUGGGACUGUAACGUAAUGGAAGCAGGAAGGAAGAUGUCACAAGGGCAGUGAUCACUCUUUUCUCUUCUGUAUUUUCCUGAGCUGCUCCCUCUUCAUACUUCCCUUCUCAAUUGCGAAGUAAUAGUCAAGCCUCUCAGGGAACAUGGAAAAUAUCCCUGUGGGGGCAACAUCCUCCAGCAACUGGAAGAGCCUUGGGAUGCCCAGCAUCCUGUGGAUCCUGGGACUGGGAUAAGAUGGAGGGGACAGGGCUCUGAGGGUGGCCAUGGCUGCUGCUGCUCUGGACCUCAGGAACUGGAUGAUGAAACAGAAUCUGGAGCUUCCUCUAGUGCACUGUGAAGUUGAGAAAUGUGAAGUCAUCCAAACAACCUCUCAUCUCUAUGUUGAUUUCCUGGGAGAUGUAAAGUGAUUCCAAGCUGUAGGCGAAGGGGAGAAACAAAAGUGCUUGCUGGGAGGAAAGAACUGGACCACAGUUGGUUCUUACAACAUCAUGCUCUCCUCCUCCAGCCCGAAGGCCUGGCAAUGGGAGAAGAGCCAGGCCUCCCCAGAGACACUGGUGCGCAUGAACACUAGGAGCAAAGACCUAAACUGGGCCCAGGCCGGGAGAUACCUGCUAAAGGAUAGUCCCAGGGAGGUUGUAUGCAAGGUCACAGGGACAGAGCUCCGGUGGCAGGACUUGGGGCUGUACCAGUGCAUGAUCGACCUCUCACCUCAGAACCCCCAUGUCCUGUCCAAAAAGAUUCGGUUGAUAGAGCGCAAAGAAAAUGGCACUGGCCAAGAGAACCAACCAAGGCAAUCUGGAUCCAAUGCCUGCUGCUGGUGGUGAUUGUUCUGAUAUGUGGAUUCAUCCUGAACAAGGGCCUGGUGUUCUCUGUCUUGUUUAUCUCUCUCCAGAAAGCCUGGGCUCAGCCACCAUCUCUACCCCUUGCUGUAGCUUCUGACACCCUAGGACUGGAGCUGUGGAAGGGAAGAGGAAAGGAGCAGGGAAGGUCUCACCUAUCACUGCUGCUCUGAGGGUAGUCAGCUUAAGUUAACCUUUUAUGAGAGAAAUUUACAUUUAUGAAGGAAAUUCCCAGUUGUAGUGGUGUCUCCCUCUCUGUACCAGGAUGAGAAGGAUGACUCUAAAUCAUAGAAGAAAUUUAUCCAUGAAGAAGGCAUGGAUUGAAAUCUGCAUAAUGAACCUUACCUCUUGUUUACAAUGCUUUUCUUGGAACUAAUCUCCCCAUAGUGGCCUCCCUACACCUGUCUUUUGUCUUUAGCUGAAGACAGAACUUAAGCUGGAGUUCUAAGCCACCUUGGGGAGUUACUCAGUUUUCCCCCUGGUUCUCUCCCCUGUAUACAUGAGGUAUACAUGUUCAUAAACUUUUGUUUGUUUUUCACUUGUUAAUCUGUCUUUUAUUAGAGGAGCCUCAGUCUCUACCAGAAGGAUAGAGGGAAAAUUAUUUUCCUCACCUAUAUCAGUCAACCUCUAGCUUCCUUCCAUGGGGUCUGUCCACCUCCAGGCAGCCUUUUUGGACAGGAUCCUUGACAACCCAUACUGGUGGGCUCACACAUGUGCAGCUCACAUCUGGUGCAUGGGAAAUACCCACUUCAUUCACCCCCAACAAACUCAUGGAGCCCUGGUGGAUCCCCACACAACCAGUUUUUCACUCCAUCAUUGGGACAUCUAGCCAAAGGCAGUCUCUGUCAGUUACAGUUCUUAGGCUGGAGUUAGACACCAGUCUGCUGUGUCUUUCAAGUGCAGAAGACAUUUAAGCUCUCCAAGUUGUGAUCUUGAAGCCCCUUUCCCUGGGCUUGAGGAAAGGAGCAGACAUCCACUCCCCCUCUACCCCCAGGGUCAUAAUAUAUCCAAGCUGUGUCUAAAAAUCCUCUCCUAAUCUUCAAAAUCUCUGCAAAUGCAUAACCCUAGUGUGAGUGAAGUUUGAAUACCUUUUUGCAUGGGUUGCUCAUGCUUCACUCUGGAAUAUGGCAUCUAUUUUCUUGAGACUUGUGUUAGUUGCAGACAGCUAAAUCCAAUCUGCCUAUUUUAUAUAGGAAGGGAUUUUUAAAAACUAGAAUAGUAAAUGAUUUACAGAAUCAGAUCCUACUGUGAGCCACUGGGAAUCACUCUCAACGCCACACUACAGGGUGGGGCUGCUAAGGGGUCACUGCUCUUGUGACAGUCAGGACCCUGAAGAAUCAGAACACUUCCCAAAUCGGGAAGCUGCCAGCCUAGCUUCUGGUUCCAGCCUCAGCCCACCUCAGCCACAAUCCACACCAGCAAAAUGGAUGCCUUUCCUCCAAACUUAAGUCUCGCACAAAUGCAUUUGAUUGGUGGGGCCUAAAUUAUAUCUGGAACCCUAGCUGUCAGAAAGUCUGAGAAAAGAUUGUGCAGACCUUUUACUGUACAGAAAGGCCCAUGAGAAGGAGAAAGGAUUGGUCCACAGCAUCUGCCCAAACAAUCUCAGCCAAAACUGAGAUGAAAAUAGUUCAAAUUUGAAAGGUCUUUGCUUUUUAUGGUCAAUGAAAAACAAAUACAAACAUACAUUCUUUGUUGUGUUAUGACAAAUAUACCCUUUUGUUUAUUAUGAAGUUAUUUUAUAAUAAAACUUCCUAUUUACCAAAAAAAUAUAUUGGACAUUAUUAUGUGUUUUGCAUAUCACAUAGUAAGAUACAAACACAGAGAGUUCCUAUUUUUUUCCUAUUCCAAAAUCUAUGGUACUUUUCUCAAAAAAUCUCUGCAUGUUUAAGAAAAUGACUCCUAUUUCCCAUCACUCUAUUUCAAUCUACUCCUGGGAUGGCCACAUGAUCAUUAAUUAUUCAGUGACAUUUGGAAAAUUCAGGUUCCAUGGCAGUCACGUAAGUGAAAACUGGAUAAAGCAGUUCCUGUUCCAGGCUGGAUGUACAUCCUCUCAUUUAUGUUAGGAAGUAACAUCCUCCUAAAAGAUGGAGGAGAAGGCCAAAUGCAAACAGAAUGCAAACAUGCUUUGUGUUUGCUUUUUUUUUUUUAAUUUAAGAUCUUUUAAGUGCUCAAAACUGAGUUGCCAUACUCCUUACCCCUUGGUACAGUCACCUAUGGAAAUACCUUACCACUUACUUGGUUUAAUGUGAUUUUUAUUUUUCUCAUCUUCACCCACCCAUUGUGCUCCCUCCCCACAGGCAUCCUCUUCAUAUAUUUAAUGUAUGCCCUUUCAAUCUAGUGUCCAUAUGUUUAUUUU
Long non-coding RNA from Callorhinus ursinus (northern fur seal), 3512 nucleotides. RefSeq lists it as uncharacterized. The record is from RefSeq and is a predicted model, not a curated record. NCBI's taxonomy places the organism in Eukaryota, Metazoa, Chordata, Mammalia, Carnivora, Otariidae.